RNAcentral lists this ribosomal RNA (241 nucleotides) under uncultured bacterium. RNAcentral describes it as "partial 16S ribosomal RNA". It matches the Rfam family "Bacterial small subunit ribosomal RNA", at positions 796 to 1041 of the family's 1533-position model. The record is from RNAcentral.
CACGCUGUAAACGAUGAAAACUAAGUAUUGCCGCGAGGCAGUGCUGUAGCUAACGCAUUAAGUUUUCCGCCUGGGGAGUACGACCGCAAGGUUGAAACUCAAAGGAAUUGACGGGGGCCCGCACAAGCGGUGGAGCAUGUGGUUUAAUUCGAAGCAACGCGAAGAACCUUACCAGGUCUUGACAUCCCGAUGACCGCUCUAGAGAUAGAGUUUUCCCUUCGGGGACAUUGGUGACAGGUGG